AAGAGAGAGAGAGAAGAGAAGGGAGAAAACGACAGAGGGAAGGCGAGAAAAGAGAGACAAAGCAAACAGAAGAAACAGAAAUAGAUGCCAGAAUUAAAAAGUUAUAUAUAAGGUUAGAGAGUAAAACAAAGUAAAACGUUACAUAUAACGUUAGAAUGUUCAACCUGUCCAUCACAAACGUAAUUUUGCUUACGUAUAACCAACGGCCUCACAGUCGUAUUCUG
Long non-coding RNA from Octopus sinensis (East Asian common octopus), 224 nucleotides. RefSeq lists it as uncharacterized. The transcript has 3 exons. Lineage: Eukaryota; Metazoa; Mollusca; Cephalopoda; Octopoda; Octopodidae. The record is from RefSeq and is a predicted model, not a curated record.